Molecule: ribosomal RNA, 440 nt
Filed under: uncultured bacterium
Lineage: Bacteria
Description: partial 16S ribosomal RNA
Rfam family: Bacterial small subunit ribosomal RNA
Source: RNAcentral
CUACGGGCGGCUCCAGCAGGGAAUAUUGCACAAUGGACGGAAGUCUGAUGCAGCGACGCCGCGUGGAUGAUGAAGGCCCUCGGGUUGUAAAAUCCUUUUCAGGGGGACGAGGAAGGACGGUACCCUUGGAAUAAGCGUCGGCUAACUACGUGCCAGCAGCCGCGGUAAGACGUAGGACGCAAGCGUUAUCCGGAUUUACUGGGCGUAAAGCGUCUGUAGGCGGAAUGGUAAGUUGGACGUGAAAGCUCCGGGCUCAACCCGGAGAGGUCGUUCAAUACUGCCAAACUAGAGGGCAUCAGAGGAGCGUGGAAUUUCCGGUGUAGCGGUAAAAUGCGCAGAUAUCGGAAGGAACACCAAUGGCGAAGGCAGCGCUCUGGGAUGAACCUGACGCUAAGAGACGAAAGCUAGGGGAGCGAACAGGAUUAGAUACCCUAGUAGUC